AUUGAACGCUGGCGGCAUGCUUUACACAUGCAAGUCGGACGGCAGCGCAGAGAAGCUUGCUUCUUGGGUGGCGAGUGGCGAACGGGUGAGUAACAUAUCGGAACGUACCGAGUAAUGGGGGAUAACUAAUCGAAAGAUUAGCUAAUACCGCAUAUUUUCUGAGGAGGAAAGCAGGGGACCUUCGGGCCUUGCGUUAUUCGAGCGGCCGAUAUCUGAUUAGCUAGUUGGUGGGGUAAAGGCCUACCAAGGCGACGAUCAGUAGCGGGUCUGAGAGGAUGAUCCGCCACACUGGGACUGAGACACGGCCCAGACUCCUACGGGAGGCAGCAGUGGGGAAUUUUGGACAAUGGGCGCAAGCCUGAUCCAGCCAUGCCGCGUGUCUGAAGAAGGCCUUCGGGUUGUAAAGGACUUUUGUCAGGGAAGAAAAGGACAGGGUUAAUACCUCUGUUUGAUGACAGUACCUGAAGAAUAAGCACCGGCUAACUACGUGC
RNAcentral lists this ribosomal RNA (491 nucleotides) under uncultured Neisseria sp. Its description in RNAcentral is "bacterial SSU rRNA". It matches the Rfam family "Bacterial small subunit ribosomal RNA", at positions 30 to 508 of the family's 1533-position model. The record is from RNAcentral. Lineage: Bacteria; Pseudomonadati; Pseudomonadota; Betaproteobacteria; Neisseriales; Neisseriaceae.